UAAACGACAUUACGAUAACGAAAUAUCUCAGCUAUCCAAAAUCGCGAGGGAGUUGACAUAAAAAUUAUUACAAAUCGGCAAUCUCAUUUUCAGUACGAACAGAUCAGAGAUACGAAUAUAUUGCUUAUCGUGAUAUACAAGAAAAAUUAUAGUGUUGCAAAAAUGUACAUAGUAAUAAUUACUCGUGAAAAAAGAAAUGGUUGCUGUGUCACGGAAGGUAAAAGGCGAAAAAUAAAAUAAUGUCAGAUGAAUCGGUACAACGCGCUGAGUAUAUCGGAUAAAUUGGUUUUUAUUGAUCCCCACUGUUCACGGCGACGAGUUAUGCGCAUGGUGAUCGUUAAGGUGAUUAAGAAAUCACGUGCCAUUAACGCUCAUUAAGGAGCCAGAGCUAAUCCCGGUGUAUCAAGCCUCAGUCUCCUCCUUGUUUCCUGUACUCCUUCGUCGCGUGCAUUUUUGCUUUUCCAUUCUCGUAGAGCCUAUAGUUCUCGCAUUAUAAAACAACACGAUACAUUCAAUCGUAAUCUCCUUUGCUUCUUUAUCGAAUCUACUGUUGGUAGCAAUUCUACAAUUUAUGAGAGCUUGUUCUUCUUCUAGGUAUAUCUAUGUGCUUAUAGUCCAAAGAAAUCAAUCGAAGAGCUGAACGAAGAUACAGUACAAAUACACAUUUUGGAAAAAUUAGAUAAAUAUUGGGAAAAAUGUACUAACCAUCCAACAAUUCCAUAAAUUGAAAAGUAGUUGAAAAUGAUGGCGUUAGAACUAUAUAUCUUUUAUCUUUAAAUUUACGAUUAGGUAUAUUACGCCACUCACUUUUAUGGAUGCAAGAUAGAAUGAGAUAAAUGGAUAUAAGAAAUUAAAUUAUUUGGUCUUCGAGAAAUUAAACACUAAUUACGUACGUAGAUAAUGAAAUGGAAAAAUUUACGGAGACUGAAGUUGAGCAGUUUGUCUUUUGAUCGUGGGAAACUCAUAUGCAAUCUAUACUUAUUUAAAAAAAAAUUGCAAAAAUGUUUUUUCACAGUAGUAUCGACAUGUGAUUUUUCAAUAUCUACGAACAUAUAUUGCAGAUUAUAAUACUUGGAUUCUGGCAUCCCUCUAAACCGUCCAAUUAAAAAGGAAUCUAUACAAUAAUAUACCCGCAAAUUUUACUAUUUCACAUCCAUUAUAAAUUAACUAUCUACUAUUUCCGAGAUUGGAUACAAUUUAGAGGCACGAUUAAACAAAAUCUCAAAUUCCUGUAAUUAAAAAAUCUUCGAGUCUGGUUAAAAAGCUAAAUUCUCCAAAUCAAAAAUCCACCCCAGAAAUUCGUACGUAAGUCAGAUGGAAGUGCAGAAACACGUUCGCAGGUUCCUUCCAAAAAAAGUCAAGUGCGCUGAACCGAUCUGUCUACGUCUUCCUUUAUUCCGGGACGUUAAGAAGGGUUAAGGGGAUUAGGAUGAGGAGACCAAAAGGAUGGCUUCCUGAGUCCUCUUUUAAAGGCACGCUGCUUCGGGAAAAGGUAGACUCGGAGGAGCUACCUGUCGAGUAAAGCCACGCAAAAAUAAACAGAUUUGAAGGAACGUUUAUCCAGCGGGACGGUAGUCGUAUAGCCGAGUGAAUUUAAAAGCCAUUGGACAGCGGGCGCGCGUCCGACCCUCUGACCCACUCUCGUCGAGUGGGGUCACUUUAGAAAAGGGCUGGUGACACUAAUCUGACGUUAACAGGACCGCGGUAAUCUUAGAUCCUUAUCUCGUCGACGAACAGGGACAGAAUUAUCGGCUGCUCGAUGAGCUAAGAGCCAAAAUUUCCUUCAUUUCCUCUCAUCGUUCCACUUACUCUCCUGUUCCAAUUUAACCCUUUUAUAGGAUCGUAGGGAAUCGAGCGAUAUAUAAAUUAGCAGUGUCAGAUUGACGGAUGCAUCUGUUUGUUUUUCAUGCAUGUUUCAAGAGGCUUGAACGUAUGAGUCUAUAUACCGAGGGCCACUCUUUUGUCGAUACUUCUUUUGUCGCACGACCGCGAACGACGUUAAGAAAGGCAACAUUUCAUGUAUUAUUCAACCGUGAGGAGAACGUGCCGUACGUUCUCGAGGUGGUCUUGAAAUUUCCUUGUUCUUGGACAUUUGCGCCAUCCGUAUAAUUUCUUAUUCAUAUUUUCUUGAGAUCUCUUUUUAUCGUAACGGUGUGUAAAAGAAUUGUUAGAAUUUUUCUAAAAUGACAAUUAACUUGUUUUUGUAUUACAAUUUACCGGUUGCUUCGUCCUUGAUGAAGCGUCUAAAUAUAAACGAGAAAAUAAAUAAUAUCCAUAACAAUGAACGUUACGAGUACAUAUUGUGGUCGUAGAUUGCCGAUUCCACGAACAAAUUCGAAAGGUUUGAAGUCGUAAAGUGAACACAUUGGUUUGAGUUGUUCUAUAGACUUCAAAGAAGCACCCUAAGAGUCUCUCUUGCUCCAGCUAGAGCUAUCGAAGGUUGGACGAUUGAAAAUCGUACGUGGGUUCAAAGGAAAAAGGAAAGGAAAGCGAACGCACGAUUAUGCAUUGAAUAAUUGAUCGAGAAAGUUAGGCAAGUCGCCGCACUUUUUUUUUUUUGUGAAUCAAAUCAAAGGAAGGAAACAUCGGAUAAGACAAUUAUGUGUAAUUCUGUCUCCUUUAUUAUUUUUUAGCGAGCAAUUGCUGUCGCACAAUCGAAGAAAUCAUCGGCGAGGUCUAUUAUUUCAUGCGGAGAAUCAUCUAGUCCAAAAUAAUAUUUCAUUUAAGCUAUUAUCUCAAUCAAUAUGUUCUAACGGAUAGAAUGAGCAAAAUAAAGCAGAACCUCGCAAGUAUUAAUAGAGGAUUAUAAAACAGUAAUUAAAUGCAAUUAAAAACAAACAGCUGUAUAAAGUUGAGAUAACAGAAACAAAAAACCGGUGUUGAAAAACAACAGUAAAAAAAUAAAUUAAACCACAGGUUUGAUAAACGGAAAUAAUAAAUAGGUUUGAUAAGCGGAAUUAUAAGCAGAGAUAAGAAAUAGGAGUGAAAGAUGUAUUCAAGAAAUAGAACUGAAAAGCGUAUGUAAUAAAUGGCGCUGAGCAACGUAAUUAAAGUAUCAUGCAUGAUUA
Molecule: long non-coding RNA, 3068 nt
Organism: Bombus impatiens (common eastern bumble bee)
Lineage: Eukaryota; Metazoa; Arthropoda; Insecta; Hymenoptera; Apidae
Exons: 2
Source: RefSeq, a predicted model, not a curated record